UUUUACGGUACCCAGGGAUAAAUAUGGGCCAUCCAAUCUAUAGAUUGAGCCAUGCAGAUGAAGCCAUACUGUCAGAUUUCGGCCGCCCAACACGCGAGCAGUAUAGAGUGUCCUGCGCCGUCCGCAGGCAGCAGUAUACGUUGAUGAGGGUAUUUUAGGAAGAUCAUAUUUUGUCCCGCAAGGGAGACUCCAUCUCCUACCCCUGUUCGUUCAGUUUGCCCACCCAAAAAAUCCCCUCACAUAUUCCGGCCGCCAUGGACCUGCACCACUGUAGUCCCUCCUCUCUCUCUGGCUUGAGCAGCGGCGGAAACGGGAACCACCCUUCCGAGCCAGGGUCCGGCCGCCGCCGCCAACGCGCAGCCCCCGUAUCCCCUCCUCCCCGGUCGAUUUGAAUGGCCCCUACGAACUAGGGUUCCGGCCGUCGCUGACGCCGACCACCGUGGCGCAGCUGGUCGAUCUCCGGCCAGGAUGAUCUGCGGCCAUGAAGGUUUUGGAGGGCCGCGUGGCCCAGUCGGUCAAGUACUAGGCCGAGGCAGACGCUGUGUCGCCGGCGGUUGCCGCCGACCGCGGCGACGAAGCUGCAGGUCCUCUGAACAACGACAACGGACUCCUCUGAACAGAAGGUUCUGAGGCGGCUGAAGAAGGUGUGCCAUGAAUCGCAGCAGGAUAAUAAGCGUCCCGCAGACUCUGAGCAUUUUUCAGUUCCUCCGAUCCAUACUAGGCAUAUGAAGUCAAAUUCUGCCUCCACUUCUGAUGAAGAAAGAGAGGACAUGAUUCCCAUCUCCUGGAGGAUGAAGCGGCACCACCUGGAAAUAAACACGAAGAUGCCAGCUACGAAGUGAAGCCGAAGGUGUAUCCAUCUACCAGCAGUUGUUCCCAGCAAGAGUUUGCGGAAGCAACUAGAGAUGCAGCUUCAGUGGUCCGGCCAAAGCGAGUGAAAAUCCGGUUUACUCCUAGCGCUAACAGACUGGUUGAGCAGCAGGGCUGCUCAGGUCAGAGAUUUGCAAGCGAUGACAAGCCACCUGGGUAUUGACGCACGUAUCAGGGUGUGGCUACACACAGGUGAUGUUGAUGAAAGCAUUAUGCAAGAGCUGGACCAAGGAAUGACCGCAUCGACUGUUUUUAGGAGCAUACUUGGCUAAAAUAUUUCUUGUAGAAAUAACGAGGCAUAUGUUUUAGCUCAAUUCCGUCGAGCAUAUAUUAAUCGUGUAUUCGUGUAGCGUAUUGAGAUGUUUGAGCUACAUGUAAAUUUAUUUUUCCAACUAAAUUUUUUCAUGACAUCAAGUUGAUGUUCCGGUGUUUC
This is a long non-coding RNA of Lolium perenne, 1303 nucleotides long. RefSeq lists it as uncharacterized. Lineage: Eukaryota; Viridiplantae; Streptophyta; Magnoliopsida; Poales; Poaceae. The record is from RefSeq and is a predicted model, not a curated record.